RNAcentral lists this long non-coding RNA (1847 nucleotides) under Homo sapiens (human). RNAcentral describes it as "HSALNT0274300". The record is from RNAcentral. Lineage: Eukaryota; Metazoa; Chordata; Mammalia; Primates; Hominidae.
CUGGCGGCCAGGCCUCUGGACUCAGCAGCAGUUAGAAUAGGGUGUGUUCAUAACAGCCUUCACUAAGGAGGAAAUCACAGGUGACCAGUACUUCGGUCCUCCUCAUCGGCCACCUUCACUCCCUUAGGCCACAUGCUUGGGUUCGGGAGGGCCCACUCCAAGCUGGGAAAGUUAUCCCUUGGGCCAGGCACUCCUGCCCCAGGCGUGUUCAGGCCAGUCUAGGCCUCUGUCAAAGGCAGGUCUGGUUUUCUUCAUCAGCGCAUGGCCAGUCCAGGCCCCUUUGGCAAAAGAGGAAGCCCAAAAUUCUCUUGCUUCACUCACCUUCUUUUCUAUAUUCUUUUCUUUUCUUAGCUUCCCCCCUACCCCCCAGCUCAAGAAACUUCACUAGCAGGACCACUUAUCUUCUUAAUGGAAAGACUUUCCUUCCACUUUGAUUUCUAGAGCCAGAUAUAAAUGAGGAACCAAGCUGUUGAUCUGGUCUUGGGUCUGGCUGUGUCACCCAGGCUGGAGUGCGGUGGCACAAUCUCGGCUCACUGCAACCUCCACCUCCCAGGUUCAAGCGAUUCUUCUGCCUCUGCCUCCCAAGUAGCUGGAAUUACAGAUACACAUCACCAUGCCCAGCUAAUUUUUGUUAUUUUUGUAGAGACAGAGUUUUGCCUUGUUGCCCAGGCUGGGCUCAAGCAGUCCACCUGCCUCGGCCUCCCAAAGUGCGGGAUUACAGGCGAGAGCCCCCGCGCCUGGCCCUGAUCCGCUUUUCACACCACCUCUGGGCGCCCUGGGCUUCCAGGCCAGGGCCGGCAAACGUAGUGUCACUGCAACAGAGCCACAUCCACUUGUAUGUGCAGGUCUGUGGCCACUUUCAUGCUGCAGCGGCAGAGGGGAGUGGUAGAGACAGAGACCUGCGGUCUGUAAAGCAGAAAAUAACUCUGCCCUUCACAGAGUUUGCGCACCUUGGUCACCUCUUGGUUUGCACACACCGCUUUGCGGAGAUUAUGACAUCUCUUGUUUAAGUGGACAUGUGUGGACCUGGUGAAGCGCUGGUUUGGGGCUAAGAGUGUCUGCAAGUGGCUAGUGAGUGAGUUUAUGGUCAGGAAAGCCUUACCCAGGGGCAGCAGUGCACUGAGCUGGACGGCAGGAGGCCCAUUUCUAGCCUCGAGUCUCUCCUACCUCACAGUGCCGCCAUCUCCUCCCUGGACUGCAGCCUGCCCCUCGUACCCUCAGCGCUGCUCCCUCACUAAGAGGGCCAGAGACAUUGCCUUUCUUGCUGUCGUCUCAGGCCCCUGGCAGCCUAUUGUAAAGAGGAUGGGGUGUUGCUCAAUAAGUCCCAGGGUCAAGGGAAGCUUUCCCCUGCCAUCUGUCAUGGCACAGGGAAGGCGCACAGGAGAAGCUCCUCGGGCUUCCCUGCCCUCCAGGCGGCACACUUGAACCUGCCGGAGCCACCCGUGUGUCGGCAGCGGCACUGGGCUGCCCACACCUCUGAGAGCCAAGUACGAGACCCGGUCUCUCUCUGGGUGGCUGUCAGUUGCUGCACACGCAAUGAGUGUCCUGGGCCUGCCUGUGAGGGACCCACAGCCCCACAUGGGCAUCACUGUCCUCCACACCAGACUGCCAGCGCAGUGACGAUUCAGCUACAAAUGGGAGAGUCGAUCUUAUUAACAGAUCGGCUUUGAAAGGCCAAAAUCCCCAUUUUGAAGAUGAAGAUAAAAGUGGGUCCUUACUCUGACGAGGCGUUUUCAUCGCCCCUCUUGGCAUGGUGCCAUGAUAGCGGUCGUGUUGUGCGUGAAGCCUGAGCUCUGCCGAAUGGAAGGGCUGUCUGCAAGUGCGGUGCGGAAGACCGCGGGCCGUCG